GCUGGGCAUUGUGGCGGGUGCCUGUAGUCCCAGCUACUUGGGAGGCUGAGGCAGGAGAAUUGCUUAAGCUGAAGUGUUUAAGGUUGCUGUGAGCUGUGAUGUCACAGCACUCUACCCAGGGGGACAGCUUGAGACUCUGUCUCAAAAAAAAAAAAAAUUUAAAUCUUGAGAGAGAGGUCUCACUCUGCUGCCCUGGCUAGAGUGCAGUGGUGUCAUCAUAGCUCACUGCAACCUCAAACUCCUGAGCUCAAGCUAUCCUCCUGCC
Molecule: small RNA, 265 nt
Filed under: Otolemur garnettii (small-eared galago)
Lineage: Eukaryota; Metazoa; Chordata; Mammalia; Primates; Galagidae
Description: Metazoan signal recognition particle RNA (ENSOGAG00000028177.1)
Source: RNAcentral